GCCCUCGUAGCUCAGUGGAUAGAGCACCGCUCUCCUAAAGCGGGUGUCGCAGGUUCGAUUCCUGCCGGGGGCA
Molecule: non-coding RNA, 73 nt
Organism: Williamsia sp. D3
Lineage: Bacteria; Bacillati; Actinomycetota; Actinomycetes; Mycobacteriales; Nocardiaceae
Source: Rfam